GGUUUGGCACCUCGAUGUCGGCUCAUCGCAUCCUGGGGCUGUAGUCGGUCCCAAGGGUUGGGCUGUUCGCCCAUUAAAGCGGUACGCGAGCUGGGUUCAGAACGUCGUGAGACAGUUCGGUCCCUAUCCGUCGCGGGCGCAGGAAAUUUGAGAGGAGCUGUCCUUAGUACGAGAGGACCGGGAUGGACGCACCGCUGGUGUACCAGUUGUUCUGCCAAGGGCAUCGCUGGGUAGCUAUGUGCGGACGGGAUAAGUGCUGAAAGCAUCUAAGCAUGAAGCCCCCCUCAAGAUGAGAUUUCCCAUUCCGCAAGGAAGUAAGAUCCCUGAAAGAUGAUCAGGUUGAUAGGUCUGAGGUGGAAGCGUGGUGACACGUGGAGCUGACAGAUACUAAUAGAUCGAGGACUUAACCUAU
Molecule: ribosomal RNA, 412 nt
Filed under: Bacillus safensis
Lineage: Bacteria; Bacillati; Bacillota; Bacilli; Caryophanales; Bacillaceae
Description: bacterial LSU rRNA
Rfam family: Bacterial large subunit ribosomal RNA
Source: RNAcentral